Molecule: long non-coding RNA, 758 nt
Organism: Lotus japonicus
Lineage: Eukaryota; Viridiplantae; Streptophyta; Magnoliopsida; Fabales; Fabaceae
Exons: 3
Source: RefSeq, a predicted model, not a curated record
UUCCCAGUCGUAACCUCCCUUUCUUCUUUCUCGACAUAUUCUCCUCCUUACAUCUCCCACAGAACUUCUUCAAUUUCUUCUUUUACUCUUGUUCCAAAGGAAAACAGCCCCAAUUCCCCUUUAAUAUAUAUCCAUUCACGAACAAGGUUGACAGGGUUUCAAAUGGAACAAACCUGGUUUAACUGUUUGGAGUAGGAGUGGUGCUUUUAAGAAGUAAAUUUAGCCCUUCAGCAUUGUCCAAUUCAAUUUAUUUAAGAUUUGACGGGUGAAGGUUCGUUGGGUUGUCGCGAAAUUGCUAAGGACGGUCUAGUUGGCUCGUUAUAGCAAUUCUUCAGCAGCUGAGUAACAAGCUGUUCCUGGAUUCAGAUUGUCAGUUGUCUUGCUUGUAGGCCUCCAUCGGCUGGUGGCCUCAUUGCUAUUUUAUUUCUCUUGAUUAUAGUUAUCUGCAUCUAUAGGGAGUCAUAGGUGAAUUUAGUUUGGGGUUGACGGUAUCUUUUAAUUUUAAAGGUUGACAUUGAACGUCGAAUUUUGGUUUUGUACCUUUUCUUGAAAUUUUGGAUUUUGGAGAAUAUUAUUUAGCAGGUUAUGUUAUUUUGAGAUUACUGAAAUACAGAGGAGACUUUGUCGUUUUUUUUAUAAAUUUAUGCGGACGUAUUUAUCAUGGCGAAUUGGUUAUAAAUGGGUUAUGUGUAAAAGGCUUGCCGGACUUGGGGUGAUAGUCCGUGCGCCGGUCACGGCUUGGGAUUUUUGGGUCGUGA